RNAcentral lists this non-coding RNA (45 nucleotides) under Trichobilharzia regenti. The record is from RNAcentral. Lineage: Eukaryota; Metazoa; Platyhelminthes; Trematoda; Strigeidida; Schistosomatidae.
AUCCAGAUGACGAGUCCCAAAUAGGGAGAAAUGUGUAUUCUGGAU